This 160-nucleotide ribosomal RNA is filed under the name Hypomyces completus. RNAcentral's name for it is "partial large subunit ribosomal RNA". It matches the Rfam family "Eukaryotic large subunit ribosomal RNA", at positions 99 to 261 of the family's 3401-position model. Lineage: Eukaryota; Fungi; Ascomycota; Sordariomycetes; Hypocreales; Hypocreaceae. The record is from RNAcentral.
CGGCAACAGCUCAAAUUUGAAAUCUGGCCCCUAGGGCCCGAGUUGUAAUUUGCAGAGGAUGCUUUUGGUGAGGCGCCGCCUGAGUGCCCUGGAACGGGCUGCCACAGAGGGUGAGAGCCCCGUCUGGCUGGCUGCCGAGCCUCUUUAAAGCUCCUUCGAC